CCUACGGGAGGCAGCAGUGAGGAAUAUUGGUCAAUGGUCGGGAGACUGAACCAGCCAAGCCGCGUGAGGGAUGAAGGUACAGCGUAUCGUAAACCUCUUUUGUCGGGGAACAAAGGCGGGGACGUGUCCCCGCUUGAGUGUACCUGGAGAAAAAGCAUCGGCUAACUCCGUGCCAGCAGCCGCGGUAAUACGGGGGAUGCGAGCGUUAUCCGGAUUUAUUGGGUUUAAAGGGUGCGCGGGGGGUCGUUACAGUCGGCGGUAAAAGCCCGGGGCUCAACCCCGCCCCGCCGUUGAAACUGGCAGUCUUGAGUUGGAGAGAAGUAUGCGGAAUGCGCGGUGUAGCGGUGAAAUGCAUAGAUAUCGCGCAGAACUCCGAUUGCGAAGGCAGCAUGCCGGCUCCAAACUGACGCUGAGGCACGAAAGCGUGGGUAUCGAACAGGAUUAGAUACCCCUGUAGUC
RNAcentral lists this ribosomal RNA (459 nucleotides) under uncultured bacterium. RNAcentral's name for it is "partial 16S ribosomal RNA". It matches the Rfam family "Bacterial small subunit ribosomal RNA", at positions 338 to 795 of the family's 1533-position model. The record is from RNAcentral.